RNAcentral lists this transfer RNA (58 nucleotides) under Salmo salar (Atlantic salmon). It matches the Rfam family "tRNA", at positions 8 to 63 of the family's 71-position model. Rfam says of the family: Transfer RNA (tRNA) molecules are approximately 80 nucleotides in length. Lineage: Eukaryota; Metazoa; Chordata; Actinopteri; Salmoniformes; Salmonidae. The record is from Rfam by way of RNAcentral.
UGGUUCAGUUGGUAGAGCAUAGUGUUUGCAACGCCAGGGUUGUGGGUUCGAUUCCCAC